RNAcentral lists this ribosomal RNA (253 nucleotides) under uncultured bacterium. RNAcentral's name for it is "partial 16S ribosomal RNA". It matches the Rfam family "Bacterial small subunit ribosomal RNA", at positions 524 to 776 of the family's 1533-position model. The record is from RNAcentral.
UACGUAGGGUGCGAGCGUUAUUCGGAAUUACUGGGCGUAAAGCGUGCGUAGGCGGCGCGUUAAGACAGGUGUGAAAUCCCCGGGCUCAACCUGGGAACUGCAUUUGUGACUGCAUAGCUGGAGUGCGGCAGAGGGGGAUGGAAUUCCGCGUGUAGCAGUGAAAUGCGUAGAUAUGCGGAGGAACACCGAUGGCGAAGGCAAUCCCCUGGGCCUGCACUGACGCUCAUGCACGAAAGCGUGGGGAGCAAACAGG